UACGGAGGGUGCGAGCGUUGUCCGGAAUCACUGGGCGUAAAGGGCGCGUAGGCGGCUCAUGAAGGCUGUGGUGAAAGUCCGGGGCUCAACCUCGGAUCGGCCGUGGCGACUCGUGGGCUGGAGCACUGUAGAGGCGGGUGGAAUUCCGGGUGUAGCGGUGGAAUGCGUAGAGAUCCGGAAGAACACCAGUGGCGAAGGCGGCCUGCUGGGCAGUGGCUGACGCUGAAGCGCGACAGCGUGGGGAGCAAACAGG
RNAcentral lists this ribosomal RNA (253 nucleotides) under uncultured bacterium. RNAcentral's name for it is "partial 16S ribosomal RNA". It matches the Rfam family "Bacterial small subunit ribosomal RNA", at positions 524 to 776 of the family's 1533-position model. The record is from RNAcentral.